GACGAACGCUGGCGGCGUGCUUAACACAUGCAAGUCGAGCGGUAAGGCCCUUUCGGGGGUACACGAGCGGCGAACGGGUGAGUAACACGUGGGUGACCUGCCCUCAGCUCUGGGAUAAGCCUGGGAAACCGGGUCUAAUACUGGAUAUGACUCCAUGACGCAUGUUGUGGGGUGGAAAGCCUUGUGCGGCUGAGGAUGGGCCCGCGGCCUAUCAGCUUGUUGGUGGGGUGAUGGCCUACCAAGGCGACGACGGGUAGCCGGCCUGAGAGGCGACCGGCCACACUGGGACUGAGACACGGCCCAGACUCCUACGGGAGGCAGCAGUGGGGAAUCUUGCGCAAUGGGCGAAAGCCUGACGCAGCGACGCCGCGUGAGGGAUGACGG
Molecule: ribosomal RNA, 384 nt
Filed under: uncultured bacterium
Lineage: Bacteria
Description: bacterial SSU rRNA
Rfam family: Bacterial small subunit ribosomal RNA
Source: RNAcentral